GACGUAGGGCGCAAGCGUUGUCCGGAAUUAUUGGGCGUAAAGAGCUCGUAGGCGGCUUGUCGCGUCGACUGUGAAAACCUGCAGCUCAACUGUGGGCUUGCAGUCGAUACGGGCAGGCUAGAAUUCGGUAGGGGAGACUGGAAUUCCUGGUGUAGCGGUGAAAUGCGCAGAUAUCAGGAGGAACACCGGUGGCGAAGGCGGGUCUCUGGGCCGAUAUUGACGCUGAGGAGCGAAAGCGUGGGGAGCGAACAGG
RNAcentral lists this ribosomal RNA (253 nucleotides) under uncultured bacterium. RNAcentral's name for it is "partial 16S ribosomal RNA". It matches the Rfam family "Bacterial small subunit ribosomal RNA", at positions 524 to 776 of the family's 1533-position model. The record is from RNAcentral.